RNAcentral lists this long non-coding RNA (4270 nucleotides) under Homo sapiens (human). RNAcentral's name for it is "HSALNT0331968". The record is from RNAcentral. Lineage: Eukaryota; Metazoa; Chordata; Mammalia; Primates; Hominidae.
AGUGGGUGUCUAGUAUCUGGGGCAAAGGACCGUGAGGCUGGAGAGAGAAACAGAAGGGAAGAAGGGUCCCUUACUGGCUGUCACAGGAAGCUGUGGGAUGCAGACACAUCCAGGGAAAGGCAGAGGCUGCCUCCAAGGCUACAUGACCUGCAGGCAGCCCCGGACCCCCUGGGGAGGACUCAGGUCUCCACUGAAGGGACAGCCGAACAGAGGGAAAUGGAAGUAGAGCCGUGGGGACUCCUGGGAGGGGGAAGAAGGCAUAGGAGGGGAGAGUGACCAGGGAGACAAGCCCCUCAAGGUCAGAGAGGGAAGCCAGUGGGUCCCCGAGGGUGGGGUCGUGCAGUGAAAUGUACUGUAGGAGGUGGGAGCAGGUGUUGGGAGCACGUGAAAGUCACAGCCAGCCUCAGGCAGCACCACUCAAGUCUAUCUCAGUUGCUUAUCUGGUCCAGAGAGGUUGAAAGGAUGGGAAAGCUUCAAGACUGGAUUCUUCGCAUCUGCUCUAUGACAGAGAAGGUUAGGACCAGAAAGUGGCCUCUGCAAACACAGCCAUUUAUAUGUUUGGACUACUGUGUUUGCUUUGAUUUUCCAGUUUCCUAAAUAAGAAAGGCUGCUGCUUAAGAGUCCAGUCUGAUCUCAACUAAGGGGAAAAGACAUUUGUUUCAUUUCCAUUAAGGGUGGGAUGUGGAGAGGGAUCAGUCCCUCUUUGGUGACACCCUAAGGCAGGUCCUGGGCAUCCAAUCAGCUCCUGAGCCAAGAGGGUCAGUAGAACUAGAUGCCAGGAUCCCAGAGCAGACACCAGAAACCAAGGGCUUCUGGGGCAAUCAACCCCCACCUGCUGCCUGAAAGGCUUCCUUUGCCCACUACUUUCCAGGACCAGAGAGAGAAGCAUCCCUGCUGAUGAGAAAGAACAGACACUCCCAGAGGACAAGGUCCACCUGUCAGGCAGCCACAGCCCAGCAUACUCUGGAGUCUGAGGUGGGGGUCAGUUGUGAAGAAAGGGAAGAAGGAAGAAAAAGGAUACGUUGUGCUCCGACCACAGGCCAAGGUACAAAGAAGAGGGGAAAAGAAAAUAGCUGGGCCCUGAGACUCAUACCUGUAAUCCCAGCACUUUGAGAGGCUGAAGCAGAAGGUUUGGUUGAGUCCAGAGUUUGAGACCAGCCUGGGCAACAUAGUGAAACCGUGUUAAAAAAUACAAAAAUUAGCUGGGUGUGGUGGCAUGCACCUGUAGUCCCAGCUACUCAGGAGGCCAAGGUGGGAGGAUUGUUUGAGCACAGCAGGUUGAGGCUGCAGUGAACCAUGAUUGCACCACCGUACUCCAGCCUGGGAGACAGGGUGAGACACUGUCUCAAUCAAUCAAUCAAUCAAUAAAAAUAGAAGACUUACCUUGCCCACUAGGGAGGGGCUCACUAGUGAGAGAACCACAGGGUUCUCUUUCACUUACUAGGGAAAUGGCUUCCCCAGAGAAUGGUCUUUAAUUUCAAAUGAGUCCUACACAAAUAUGUUUUCAGGACCCCAGGAUUGGCAGAACCCAUGCACCCUCACAGGCACCCCAAAAGUCUCCCCCGGGGCCUACCUACAGUUGAGUUGUCAGAUAAAAUACAGGAUGCCCAGUUAAAUUAAAUUUCAGAUAAACAAGCAGUGGUAUUUUCAUAUCAGUGUGUCUCAUGCAAUAUGUGGGACAUGGUAAUGCUGUAAAAAUUAUUUAUUGUUUAUCUGAAAUUCAGAUUUCACUGGACAUCCUCUAUGCUUUCUUGUUAAAUCUGGUAGCCACCAGCAGUUGUUGCUUUUCAAGCUAUAAGAGAUGGAUUAUGGCUUAACAGGCUGCCAGACAAGAUGACAUCACAGAUGAUUGGCUGGGUUACUGCAAGAGUUUCAGCCCUUCCUAGACAUGUCCAUACUUUUGACUGCCAUUUAUAAACAUCUGAUUCAACUGGUUUAACCAGAAGAACAGUUAUUGUCCCUGUAACCAGGAAUCCAGAGACAAGGCGAGCUCCAGAUGCAAUGUGAUUGAUAGUGAGUGUCACGGAGGACUUUCCAUCUGUCCCUCUGUCAUCCUCAGUAUUGAUUCCACCCCUGGGCUGAGGGCAAGUGGUGGCAGCAGGCACAGCGUCCCCUCCAGACACAGCUGUGUCAUUGGCAUGGCUUCUGAGAUGUGGUGGAAGGACAGGACUAAGACACAAGAGCUAUUCAGGAUCCCACAGCAUCCGGAUGUCUUCGGACUUAUGGCCAGUGAAGAACAUGAAGAGAAGGGCAGAGCUGAGUCAGAGUCAGCAUGUCAGCUGGAGGAAGUCAUCUGACAUUUUAUGAUGUGUAUUCACAUCUGAAGGGAACAAUGGGAGUGAGUGCAGCAACCACGAAAACAUGCCCCAUGGAAACUGGCUGGUCAGAAGACGGUAUUUACCAAGUCUCUUCCCAAAAUACUUGCAAAUGCACAUAAUCUCAAAGUGUUUUUGAGGGCUCUUCCGAUCUAAAAUUGGUCCUAGUGACAAGGGGUGUUUGGGGAAAUCAAAGGGCUGGCUUAACUAUGUAGACCUAGGUCUGGUCUUAUUUCUGGCCCAUACGAUCAUCAUGACCUUGGACAAAUGAAACUUCCUGGGCCUCAAGUUCCUUGUAUCAGAAAGGAUGGCAUUCAGCUGCGUACAACAGAAAACCAAAUCACAGUGGCUUAUCCAAGAAAAGUUCAAUUUUUCUCAAAACUACAGCGUCCUGGGCUGAUGCGGCAGCCCCAGGACGACCUCAGCAUCUCACUCCUCCUUUCUUUACUCGGCCCCAUCCUCAGGCUGUGACUUUCAUCCUCAGGUUUGUCAUCUUUUGGUGGUAAGAUGGUUGCUCUACCUCAAGCUCACAAAAAGAAAUGGGGGAAAGCAGGAAAGAAGAAAAUCUGCUUCCCCAGAGACUCUGAGGCUGCACUUGCACAUCUUAUGGAUCCAAACUGUGUCCCAUGGCUGCCCCUAGAUGCAAGGGGCCUGGGGAAAUGAGCGGAUUCAUCAGGUACACUGCAACCGUACAUGAAAGGAAAGUUCUGUCAAUAAAGAAGAGCGAAAUCUACAUUUGGUCAGGAAACAGCAUUGCCUGCAAUAUGCCUCAUAUGAAAUAAAGCCUUUCUUGCCCCCAUUCUGCUACUCGGUCAUUCUUGCACUCAACAAAUAGAUGUUGAGUGCCCACUCUCUCCAGGCCAUGUUCUAGGUGCUGCGGAUGCAAUCCUGAAUCUAUGAACACGAUUGGCAGAACAAUAAAUAUUGAUUGUCUUGGCCACUCACCAAAUAAAGUGCUCCUGGGAAGGCUGAGAUCUAAUGCAAAGCAGCAGCUUGACUUUCUCACUCCCUGGCAACAAUGCCAAGCAAGAGAAAGCGAUGGGUAAGGCCUGGCUCAAGAGUCUCACUGCAACCUGCACUGUAGAUUCUACCUGCUAAUUUCCUCAGCCUUCUCUGGUUUUGGGCUUCAGAAUGCCCUAACUCUGGGCCCGGCGCGGUGGCUCACGCCUGUAAACCCAUCACUUUGGGAGGCCAAGGCGGGUGGAUCACAAGAUCAAGACCAUCCUGGCCAACAUGGUGAAACCCUGUCUCUACUGAAAAUACAAAAAUUAGCUGGGCAUGGUGGCUUGUGCUUGUAAUCCAGCUACUUGGAAGGCUGAGGCUGGAGGAUCGCUUGAACCCAGAAGGCAGAGGUUGCAGUGAGCUGAGAUCACACCACUGCACUCCAGCCUGGCAACAGAGUGAGACUCUGUCUCAAAAAAAAAAAAAAAAAAAAAAAGAAUGCCCUAAGUCUACUCUGGACCAUGAGCAAGGAUAAUCUGUCUUAGAGGAGAGAAGGUGAGGUUAUGAUUCCAGAGCAUUUGGUGACCCAGGAAGUAGACCUGCCUCCUCCUAUCUGUCCACAGAGCAGUCCUAGGGGCAAUAGGCCAUGAGAAGAUCAUGCCAGGCAGUCCAUUUCUAUAUUACCAUGUAAACAAAAACUCAGCUGUGAACCCUGGAACGUUCGUAUUCUGCAGCUGCCAGUGUAAACUGGUACAGGCCUCUUGAAGAACAGUGGGGAAAGGCACUCUGAAAGCAUCCACGCCUCCAUACCUGCUGAUCCAGGGCUCUGAUUUUCCUUCUGGGAACCAAGCCUAGGAGAAUGAUUCAAGCUGCAGAAAACCUUUCUCCACUAAGAUGUUUGCUGUGGCAUUCAGUAUAAUAGCACACCAGAGAAACAAUCUAAAGAUUCAUCAGUAGGAGAAUAUCUAAGUAAAUUAUGGUACAUACACUCAAUAAAAUGUUAUAUGACUACU